RNAcentral lists this ribosomal RNA (253 nucleotides) under uncultured bacterium. RNAcentral describes it as "partial 16S ribosomal RNA". It matches the Rfam family "Bacterial small subunit ribosomal RNA", at positions 524 to 776 of the family's 1533-position model. The record is from RNAcentral.
UACGUAGGUGGCAAGCGUUGUCCGGAUUUACUGGGCGUAAAGAGCGCGCAGGCGGUCGGAUAAGUCGAAUGUGAAAGCCCCCGGCUCAACUGGGGAGGGUCAUUCGAUACUGUUCGACUCGAAGGCAGGAGAGGGAAGCGGAAUUCCCGGUGUAGUGGUGAAAUGCGUAGAUAUCGGGAGGAACACCAGUGGCGAAGGCGGCUUCCUGGCCUGUUCUUGACGCUGAGGCGCGAAAGCUAGGGGAGCAAACGGG